RNAcentral lists this ribosomal RNA (497 nucleotides) under uncultured bacterium. RNAcentral's name for it is "partial 16S ribosomal RNA". It matches the Rfam family "Bacterial small subunit ribosomal RNA", at positions 28 to 507 of the family's 1533-position model. The record is from RNAcentral.
GAUGAACGCUGGCGGCGUGCCUAAUACAUGCAAGUCGAGCGAACAGACGAGGAUCUUGCUCCUCUGACGUUAGCGGCGGACGGGUGAGUAACACGUGUAUAACCUACCUAUAAGACUGGGAUAACUUCGGGAAACCGGAUCUAAUACCGGAUAAGAUAUUGAACCGCAUGGUUCAAUAGUGAAAGACGGUUUUGCUGUCACUUAUAGAUGGAUCCGCGCCGCAUUAGCUAGUUGGUAAGGUAACGGCUUACCAAGGCAACGAUGCGUAGCCGACCUGAGAGGGUGAUCGGCCACACUGGAACUGAGACACGGUCCAGACUCCUACGGGAGGCAGCAGUAGGGAAUCUUCCGCAAUGGGCGAAAGCCUGACGGAGCAACGCCGCGUGAGUGAUGAAGGUCUUCGGAUCGUAAAACUCUGUUAUUAGGGAAGAACAAAUGUGUAAGUAACUAUGCCCGUCUUGACGGUACCUAAUCAGAAAGCCACGGCUAACUACGUG